AUCUGUGUUUGUAUGUGUCGGUGUGUGUAUCUGUGUGUCAGUGUGUAUGAAUCUGACACACAGAUACACACACUGGCACAGUGGCACACAGAUACACAGACCUUGACAUACAGUGUGUA
Molecule: microRNA precursor, 119 nt
Filed under: Pelobates cultripes (western spadefoot toad)
Lineage: Eukaryota; Metazoa; Chordata; Amphibia; Anura; Pelobatidae
Source: RNAcentral